RNAcentral lists this ribosomal RNA (2505 nucleotides) under Withius hispanus. Its description in RNAcentral is "eukaryotic LSU rRNA". It matches the Rfam family "Eukaryotic large subunit ribosomal RNA", at positions 705 to 3085 of the family's 3401-position model. The record is from RNAcentral. Lineage: Eukaryota; Metazoa; Arthropoda; Arachnida; Pseudoscorpiones; Withiidae.
GGCCCGCGGGCGCAAUGAAAGUGAAGGACGUUUCGGACGUCCGAGUCGGGAUGGCGGCGCGAGUCGCCCGCACCGACGGCCCGUUCGAGCCGGCUCCGGCUGGACGGAGCUAGAGCGCGCGCCCUGGGACCCGAAAGAUGGUGACCUAUGCCCGGGCAGGAUGAAGCCAGAGGAAACUCUGGUGGAGGUCCGUAGCGGUUCUGACGUGCAAAUCGAUCGUCGGACCUGGGUAUAGCGGCGAAAGACUCAUCGAACCAUCUAGUAGCUGGUUCCCUCCGAAGUUUCCCUUAGGAUAGCUGGCGCCCGAUCGUGUACGGUCGCAUCCGGUAAAGCGAAUGAUUAGAGGCCUUGGGGCCGAAACGACCUCAACCUAUUCUCAAACUUUAAAUGGGUGUGAAGUCCGGCUUGCUCGAGUGAAGCCCGGACGACUCUUAGACGGAGGGCGCCAAGUGGGCCAUUUUUGGUAAGCAGAACUGGCGAUGCGGGAUGAACCGAACGCCGGGUUACGGCGCCCGAUGCGAGACGCUCAGCAGAACCCAUGAAAGGUGUUGGUUGCUAUAGACAGCAGGACGGUGGCCAUGGAAGUCGGAAUCCGCUAAGGAGUGUGUAACAACUCACCUGCCGAAGCAACUAGCCCUGACAAUGGAUGGCGCUCCAGCGUCGAGCCUAUACCCGGCCCCUUCCCUAUAUACUAUUAUUUAAAGGGGAGGGAGUAGGAGGGCGCGGGGGCGGCGUCGAACGGCAGAGUGCGAACUAGUCCGGAGCCGCCCUCGGUGCAGAUCUUGGUGGUAGUAGCAAAUAUUCGAGCGAGAGCCUCGAAGACUGGCGUGGAGAAGGGUUCCAUGUGAACAGCAGUUGAACAUGGGUCAGUCGAUCCUAAGGCACAGGAGAAAUCCGUUAUAAAGGCUGACCUUUCACUAUUUUGAAAAGAGUCAGCCUUAGGCCGAAAGGGAAUCGGGUUAAGAUUCCCGAACCUGGACGCGGAGUUGACCCGUCUCCCCGAACCGAAAGGCUAGGGGGGCGGGUCGAGGCGGCAACGCAAGCGAACUCGGAAACGUCGCCGGGAGCCCUGGGGAGAGUUUUCUUUUCUCGUUAAGGGUCCUGCUCCCUGGAAUCGGUUCGCCCGGAGAUAGGGAUGCCCGGCCCCAAGAGCACCACGUUUCACGCGGUGUCCGGUGCGCUCUCGGCGGCCCUUGAAAAUCCGAGGGAGCGGUCUUUGCUCGCGCGCCAGCUCGUACCCAUAUCCGCAGCAGGUCUCCAAGGCGAGCAGCCUCUAGUCGAUAGAACAAUGUAGGUAAGGGAAGUCGGCAAAACUGAUCCGUAACUUCGGGAGAAGGAUUGGCUCUGAGGGCCGGGCCCGUCGGGCUCCCGCGCGAAGCGGCGGCUGUUGCCGAUGGGGCUGGGAAUCUCAGCCUCCGCGCUGAAAGACCCGGACCCGACGGAAACUCCGUCGUGGAGGGCUCGAGCUGCGACCGCGCCGGACCUCGCGUCCUCCGCGGUCUUCGGCGGGCGACUAACGGCCGACUCAGAACUGGCACGGACCCGGGGAAUCCGACUGUCUAAUUAAAACAAAGCAUUGCGAUGGCGGUCGGGCCGUGUUGACGCAAUGUGAUUUCUGCCCAGUGCUCUGAAUGUUAAAGUGAAGAAAUUCAACCAAGCUUGGGUUAACGGCAGGGGUAACUAUGACCCUUUUAAGGUAGCCAAAUGCCUCGUCAUUUAAUUAGUGACGCGCAUGAAUGGAUUAAUGAGAUUCUCGCUGUCCCUAUCUGCUAUCUAGCGAAACCACAGCCAAGGGAACGGGCUUGGAAAAUGUCAGCGGGGAAAGAAGACCCUGUAGAGCUUGACUCUAGUCUGAAUUUGUGAAGGAACAUGAGAGGUGUAGCAUAGGUGGGAGCUCCGGCGCCGUUGAAAUACCACUACUUUCAUCGUUUCUUUACUGACUCGGUGAUGCGGGACCCGGCCUCGCGGCCCGUCGUCUGGAGCUAAGCGCGCUUCUCGAAGCGCGCGACCCGAUCCGAGGAAAUUUUCAGCAAGGGAGUUUAGCUGGGGCGGUAUAUCUGUAAAAAGGUAACGCAGGUGUCCUAAGGCCAGCUCAGCGAGGACGGAAACCUCGCGUAGAGCGAAAGGGCAAAAGCUGGCUUGAUCUUGACUUUCAGUACGAGUACAGACCGUGAAAGCGUGGCCUAUCGAUCCUUUUGUACGAUUCGGAGUUUGAAGCAAGAGGUGUCAGAAAAGUUACCUAAGGGAUAACUGGCUUGUGGUAGCUAAGCGUUCAUAGCGACGUUACCGUUUGAUCCUUCGAUGUCGGUUCUUCCUGUCAUUGCGAAGCAGCGUUCGCCAAGCGUUGGAUUGUUCACCCACCAACAGGUAACGUGAGCUGGGUUUAGACCGUCGUUAGACAGGUUAGUUUUAACCUACUGCCGAGGUUUGUCGCCGUAGUAUUCCUGCUCAGUACGAGAGGAACGGCAGGUACGGAAAAUUGGCACAUGCGCUUGGCCGAACGGC